CAGCCGCCACGGUAAUACGUAGGGUGCAAGCGUUAAUCGGAAUUACUGAGCGUAAAGCGUGCGCAGGCGGUUCUAUAAGACAGAUGUGAAAUCCCCGGGCUCAACCUGGGAACUGCAUUUGUGACUGUAGAGCUGGAGUGCGGCAGAGGGGGAUGGAAUUCCGCGUGUAGCAGUGAAAUGCGUAGAUAUGCGGAGGAACACCGAUGGCGAAGGCAAUCCCCUGGGCCUGCACUGACGCUCAUGCACGAAAGCGUGGGGAGCAAACAGGAUUAGAUACCCCCGUAGUCCCUGUCUCUUAUAC
This 301-nucleotide ribosomal RNA is filed under the name uncultured bacterium. RNAcentral describes it as "partial 16S ribosomal RNA". It matches the Rfam family "Bacterial small subunit ribosomal RNA", at positions 509 to 807 of the family's 1533-position model. The record is from RNAcentral.